AGAGAGAGAGAGAGAGAGAGAUAUGGAUAACUUGCAGUAGCAUGCAUGCAGGCUCCUUACAAUGUUCCCUGGCCUUGUAUAUCCUUCACGUUGCCGUUGAGUGUUAACCCAAAUUGGGUGUGAGGGAGAUAUGCCCAAUUUUUGGCAGCAGUGCUAAAUGCUUCUCUGUGGCUAAUAUCAGGAUUGCUUGCCUUUAUCCUUUGGAUCUCCUCCUUGAUAAAUCUAUUGUAGGCAGAAGGAACACGUUGUCUUUUCUCCGGUACGCGAAUAGGAGGGGAUCUAGGUUGAUCAUGAUCAGUAGGAAUGGGAGAAAAUCUGUGAAAUGAAUUUGUAGAAGAGGAUGAUGAUCCAUAACCUCUACUCAUUCCAUCUUCAAUACUUGACUCAUUUUGUCUCUGUAAAUCUUGAAUGGGGAGAGACUGAAGGGAAGGUGCAAUAUUAACAGAAAGCAAAUUUGCGCAGUGUCCACACCUUACUGUCACUAUUGUCAUCAUACUGUUGCAUGGAACGCUAACCGCAAGAAUUGUGCUGCAGAAGUUGCAAUGAACAUAGCAAACACGUUCCGAGGAAGAGGAGGAAUAUGUCAUGUCAAGUGACAUUUCUUAUAAGCUUUUUAGGUCAGAAAAUACGGAUCGAAGAAUUAGAAGUAAAAGUAUGAGUCAAAAUCAAGAAAUAUGUGUAAUGUUCAUCAUGUUAUGUAGCUAGGAAGAGAGUUGAAAAGACCUAGCUUACAAAAGAUGGGGGAAAAAGGGGGAAGAAAAGGGGGAGAUGAUAAAUAAGGUAUAAGUUUUUGAGAGAUGAAUGAAUGAAAGAGUACAAAAUAAACACAUAUUAGAGAUGAAGAGAUUGAUGGGAUUGGAAUGGUUUGGUCUGGUCGGGGUGGGGUGGGGUAGGGAUGGG
This 900-nucleotide unclassified non-coding RNA is filed under the name Hevea brasiliensis (rubber tree). The record is from RNAcentral. Lineage: Eukaryota; Viridiplantae; Streptophyta; Magnoliopsida; Malpighiales; Euphorbiaceae.